UAGCUCCUUCCUGAAGGGACUGGGGGGCUGGCUGCCUCACUUGUUCCCCGUCCUCCAUCACUGUGCACCCUGGUUUUGGGUCCUCGGUGGGCGUUCUAAAUCUCUGGAAGCCUCGGGCUGAGGAGCAGAAGACGUUGUCCUCAGCUUCUAGGGAAUCUAGGUGGCAACGAGAGGCCACAGAGGCUGGUGUGGGCAGGAGGAAGAGACAGGACCUCCCAUCCUGGGCCUCAGUGCCACCUCCCCCCUCUCUAGAGUGGUUUCCCUGGGUCACAUUUGGUGCCCACAUCCUGGUCUAUUUUCUUAUAGGCGCUUCUUGUCCUCAGAAGUGACCUUGUAUAUUGACUGUCUCCUCUCUGAGACCAUGAGCUCCAGGAAGACAGGCCUGGCCUAUUUAUUCCCAGUCUAUCCUGCCUGUAGAGCAGCUUCAGGCACAGUUAAGCUUCAUAAAUGCAGAGUGCAUGUGUGAAUGUGUUUCUCAGCUACUCCAUGGCUCCUUCUGACCAGAGGCUUUGCACUGUCCCUCACAGGAAGCUCCCCCUACUGUGCGCUGCUCCACACCGCACCAAGGUUACAGCCUGCACAUCCUUUCUGCUCACAGUUUGCAUGGCACUCACCUCCUUUGGGAAGCCUGCCCUGCCCUGCUCCCCAAGCCCAGCACCUCCAUGGAGAGAGCUGCCUUGGCCCUCCCUAGUCCUCAGCCCUUUUGCCAACCUGCACUCUCGGUGAGCUCCUUCCCCACUAGCACAAGAUUGCCAGAGGGCAGGGUUUCUGCCUGUCUGUCUGCUUGUUCACCCUUGUUUCCCUUAGGGCCCUGCCUGGUGCACAGAGGGUGCUCAGCAAGGAUUGGGCUGACUCUUUGAGCUGGGUGGGGACAGAUUCCACAGUGAUCCUCCUGCCAGCAACCUCUCCCAUUGGCUAUGACCUCUGCAAGACUGCAGGAGGACUGGGGCACUGGAGAGCAUGUGCCUGUCUGAGCAGGGAACUGACACUCCGAUCCAGCUACCGGUGCUGCCAGAUCCUUCCAGACAAGGCAGGUGUCCUGUGACAAACUACCACAAACCAGGCAGCUUCUUGUCUCACAGCGCUGAAGGCCAGGAGCCUGGAGUCCACAUGCUGAGGGAAGGAUCUGCUCCAGCUUCUCUCCAUGGCUCGCAGAUGGCCAUCUUCAUGCUCACGUGGUACUCCCCCCGUAUGCGGGUCUCUGUGUCCAAAUUUCCCCUUUUUAUAAGGACACCAGUCCUUUCGGAUUAGAGUCCACCUAUGGGCUUCAUUUAAGCUUGAUUACCUCUGCAAAGACCCUAUCUCCAAAUCACGUCAUAAUCUGAGGUAUCUAGGGUUAGGGUUAGGACUUCAUCAUGUAAGUUUUGGGGGCACACAGUUCAACACAUAAUAGCUAUUUUUAGUAGCUGUUCCUAUUUUUAUGUAAAAUACCUUGAUUUUUAGGUGUUAACUCAAUUUUAUCUGAAACUGUUGUAGACCAAGCAAAACUCACCCCAGAGCAGAAUUAAGCCCCCAGGCCCACUUGCUUAAUGGUCCCUCAAGUAGGAGGUACCACUGGAUCCAACAAAGGGGCACUUGCUGCCCCCAGCCAGAGUGGGCAGCCUCACCCCAGUAGUCCUCAGAGUGUGGCCCCCAGGCCAGAGUGGGCAGCUUCACCCCAGUAGUCUUCAGAGUGUGGCCCCCAGGCCAGCAGCACCAGGACUGCCUGGGAACUUGUCAGAAAUGCAAUGUUCUAGGGCCCCAGCCCAGACCUGCUGUAUCAGGAACUCUGGUGGUCUGCAUUUUACCAGGUACUCCAGGUGGUCCUGGAGCACAGCCUCCCUCCCACCUUGCAGGACCACCUGGAGGACUCUCUAAAAUGAGAGGAGAGCUCUCGGGGUCAUGGAACAUAAGUAGCUUGGCCACCUCCCAGCUAUUUAUUGAGGAGGUCUGAGAGGCCUCCCAAUGCCCCUUUUCAGGGACUACAAUGCUAACCUUUUACAAUGACAAGGCAUUUGACAUUUCCAAACCCAUUUCACCCUCAUCCUUUGCUGAGCAGCUCAACAGCCAUUAACUGAGUACCACAGAGACACUUCUCUCCUUUUCUAGAUGAGGAGUGGGGUUUCAGAGUGGGGAGGAGAUGCCUCUGAGAGCCACAGCUAACAGAACGCCAAGCUCUCCACCUCACCUUCCUCUCCCCAGCCUCCAGUCUCAUUCAGGAAAACCUCUCCCUGAGGACAAGCCCCUCGUGGUUUCCAGGGUAGAAGGCAGAAGCUGGUGGUGUCUAGGACUGAUCUGGCUCCCAGUUGAGUUUAGUUUGGCCCACAGGAUGUUGACUUAAAAAAUCAAAUUCCUUUCAUCAGUUGCCAAUAGUUUAAAAAUCAGGGAAUUUCACACAAGUGAGGACUGCCACCUUCUCUUGAAAAGAAGCUCUGGCUGUGUUUGGCCUGCCUUUGGGUCUGGCAAGUCAUCUCCCAGAGCCAGACCCAGGCUUCCCCACUUCCUAUCAUACUUUGAGGCCCUUUAUUAUCACCUGAGCGCAGAUGUUUUCUUAUGGGCUAAGAAGAUAGUCAAAUGUAUCUCUGUUUCUACCAAAAGUGGGGAAAUCAGAAAUAUUGUAAGGAAUACAGUUUUCAGGCAGAAUGGGAGGGGACUUAAUUCCCUGCGGAGGUAAUCACUAUUCUCCUGUGUGUCUCCUGUGCAGUGUGUCCUUGUUGGGAGAAUAUACCUUAAAUGCCCCAGCGAAACCAAUCUCUCAGGCUCACUCAUUUACUGUACUUUUCUGGAAGGCCAGUGGUCUCAAACAUAAUGGUUUCAGGACCCCUUCCUAAUCUGCAAAGUUACUGAGAACUCCAAAAAGCUUUAGUUUAAGUGGAUUAUAUCUAACGUUGCUUAAUGUAUUAGAACUGAAACUGGGAAAUGUCUAAAGCACAAGGAACACAAUUUCCAUCAGAGCACUGAUGUCAUUACCUUCACAGAGCCUCAGAAGACUCUCCUGUACAUUCAUGAGAGAACAAGGCUGAAAAAGGCAUGUAACAUCUUAGUUUACUCCAUGUGGAGCCCUGGGAGGAGUCCUGGAGCCUUACUUUGAGGACUUUGCUAAGCAUUUGAAUGUGUUCCUGUUUCCAGAAGACUUCAAGGAGAGGAAACUUUGUUUAACUUUCAGCCCCAGCUGUUGCAGCAUAAAUUCUAUCGUUUGAAGUGGGGAAGAAAGGGAAGAACAGAAAACAGAUUUUCUUCACCAAGCCUCCUUGCAACCCCAGUACACACCAACCCUAUGCACCCCACUGAGUACUGGCCCUUGCAAGACAGGAGCCCCCACAAGUCUCUGGCAUAGGACUUGGGCAGGGACAAAGGGCAACAGACACUCUGGUUUGGAACAAAAUAUAGAACCAGCCAUUUUAUUCCAAGAUCAUUCAUAUUGAGUGCUGGAGGGUGGCAGGAAUAAAUAAGGGAGGGGAGGAUGGGGGUUACAGCUGGAAGGCUCUACGUCCUGCAGCACAUCCCACACUUUGAUUUAAUACAGCAGCCACAGCAGUACAUGCAGAUAGGGAAGUGGGUGUCUCGCCUCCUUAGCCUCCGGAGCAUG
Molecule: long non-coding RNA, 3568 nt
Organism: Manis javanica (Malayan pangolin)
Lineage: Eukaryota; Metazoa; Chordata; Mammalia; Pholidota; Manidae
Source: RefSeq, a predicted model, not a curated record